This 72-nucleotide transfer RNA is filed under the name Nippostrongylus brasiliensis. It matches the Rfam family "tRNA". From Rfam's summary of the family: Transfer RNA (tRNA) molecules are approximately 80 nucleotides in length. Lineage: Eukaryota; Metazoa; Nematoda; Chromadorea; Rhabditida; Heligmosomidae. The record is from Rfam by way of RNAcentral.
UCUUCGGUAGCACAGCGGUCAGUGCAGUCUGCCGGAAACAGAAUGAAGCGGGUUCAAUUCCCGUCCGAUGUC